This 439-nucleotide ribosomal RNA is filed under the name uncultured bacterium. Its description in RNAcentral is "partial 16S ribosomal RNA". It matches the Rfam family "Bacterial small subunit ribosomal RNA", at positions 339 to 795 of the family's 1533-position model. The record is from RNAcentral.
CUACGGGUUGCAGCAGUGGGGAAUCUUAGACAAUGGGCGCAAGCCUGAUCUAGCCAUGCCGCGUGAGUGACGAAGGCCUUAGGGUCGUAAAGCUCUUUCGCUAGGGAAGAUAAUGACUGUACCUAGUAAAGAAACCCCGGCUAACUCCGUGCCAGCAGCCGCGGUAAUACGGAGGGGGUUAGCGUUGUUCGGAAUGACUGGGCGUAAUGCGCGCGUAGGCGGAUCAGAAAGUUGGGGGUGAAAUCCCAGGGCUCAACCCUGGAACUGCCCCCAAAACUCCUGGUCUUGAGUUCGAGAGAGGUGAGUGGAAUUCCGAGUGUAGAGGUGAAAUUCGUAGAUAUUCGGAGGAACACCAGUGGCGAAGGCGGCUCACUGGCUCGAUACUGACGCUGAGGUGCGAAAGCGUGGGGAGCAAACAGGAUUAGAUACCCUAGUAGUC